CUGGAGUGCAGUGGCGAGAUCUUGGCUCACUGCAACCUCCACCACCCGGCUUCAAGCGAUUCUCCUGCCUCAGCCUCCUGAGUAGCUGGGAUUACAGGCGUACGCCACCACGCCCAGCUAAUUUCUGUAUUUUUAGUAGAGACGGGGUUUCACCAUGUUGGCCAGGAUGGUCUUGAUCUCCUGACCUCGUGAUGCACCCGCCUCAGCCUCCCAAAGUGUUGGAAUUACAGGCGUGAGCAGCCACGCCCGGCCCUAUUUUCUAUUUUGGUUAUUUCAGACUAGGAAUACAGAGACGCAGAAAACCACAGCUGUGCACUGAGACCACUGACACUUGGGAGUCACCACACUCCAGGCACAGGGACCGCCACGAACAAGCGAGUCCUCCCAGACACGCAGGAGUAGCCCCCAAGGCUGACAAAAAUCACAACAUUUGUUCCGGGGACAAAAGGAUGGACACAUCCAGAGACACGGACACACCCACAAAUCAUCGCCCCCACUCUUCAGCCUCACAGCGCCCCCCUGGUCCCUCCAGAAUCUCUGUCAUCAGUCACCCCCAUACACACAGCAUCAUCCAUCGGGGGUGGGGGCCCCGCCACACAGAUGCCACUCCCCAGACCCAGAAGAUGACCGCAAGCUGCUGCAACGCAGGGCAGGGGUUCAGGGUGUCCGUAAUCUCCCGCCUCGCCCUGUCUGAGUCCCCUUUUCUGUCGCCUGGAAAAACCACAGCAGCCGCCCUCGCAGAAGUACGGACCUUCGCCCGUGCCUCAGCGGCUUCCGUAAUCCCAGGGGGUCCCACGGCACGAGGCUUAAGCGGCAGGGCGCGCUGCAUGCCGGGAGGAGCUCGAUGGGCGGGGCUUUGAGCGUCUGCGCAGCCUCCGUUUGAGGUCGCCGUUUCCCACAAGCCCCCGGGGCAGGGACCUCGCCGGCGCAGUUGUCUGGCCAGGACUGCCCGGGUGCUGCGGUGAGCUUCGGGGACUGGUCUGGCUAGUCCUUGUGCAGCCACUGCCUCCGGCCUCGGUGAUUGCGAAAGUGUGAGGGACAAAUGCAGGCCUGCUUACAUUCCUCACACGGAGGUGCUGUUCGUCCACAGUGAGACUUGACGUGCCUUUUCAGAGAAGAAAGAUGCGUGAAGACUGUCCUGCACUUGGUGCAUUCAUAUGGUUUUUCUCCAUCAGAAAUUUCCUUGUACAGGCAGGGUCUAGAGAGAUGCUAUGAAGAUGAAGUAACUUUUCCAUUUGAAAUGCUGCAUAACGCAGCAGGCCUCAGUUGUCCAAACGAUGCACAUUUCAUUAGGUCUUUCGGACAAGCCUUCGAUCGGCUACUGGAGAAAACCGUACGUCCUUGGAAUCCACUGCCUGGCUGCAGUACAGUCGGCUCACUGCAGACUCCCUGCCUCUGAUUCUGCUGCCUCGGCCUCCGGGCUGCCUGGGAUUGCUGGCGCGCGCCACCACCCCUGCCUGGUUUUUGUCCUUUGGCUGGAGGCACGGUUUCGCCAUGUCGGCCAGGCUGGUCUCCAGCUCCUGACCUCGAGUGGUCUGCCCGCCUCGGCCUCCCGAGGUGCUGGGACUGCAGACGGAGUCUCACUCACUCGGUGCUCGGUGUUGCUCGGGCUGGAGUGUGGUGGCGUGGUCUUGGCUCGCUGCAGCCUCCGCCACCCAGCUGCCUGCCUUGGCCUCCCAGGGUGCUGGGAUUGCAGCCUCUGCCCGGCCGUCACCCCGUCUGGGAGGUGGGGAACGUCUCUACCUGGCCGCCCAUCGUUUGGGAUGUGAGGAACGCCUCUGCCCGGCUGCCCCAUCUGGGAAGAAGUGAGGAGCGCCUCUGCCCGGCCGCCCCGUCUGGGAAGAAGUGAGGAGCGCCUCUGCCCGGCCGCCCCAUCUGGGAGGUGAGGAGCGCCUCUGCCCAGCCACCACCCUGUCUAGGAAGUGAGGAGCGCCUCUGCCCGGCCACCCCGUCUGGGAAGUGAGGAGCGUCUCGGCCCGGCCGCCCCGUCUGGGAAGAAGUGAGGAGCGCCUCUGCCCGGCCGCCCCGUCUGGGAAGUGAGGAGCGCCUCCGCCCGGCCGCCCCGUCUGGGAAGUGAGGAGCGCCUCCGCCCGGCCACCCCGUCUGGGAAGUGAGGAGCGUCUCGGCCCGGCCGCCCCGUCUGGGAAGAAGUGAGGAGCAUCUCUGCCCAGCUGCCCCGUCUGGGAGGUCUACCACGGAGGCCAGAAGCAAUGUGGGGGCUGGACGUGGUGGCUCACGCCUGUAGUCCCAGCACUUCGGGAGGCCGAGGCGGGUUGAUCACUUGAGGCUAGGAGUUCGAGACCAGCCUGGCCAACAUGGCAAAACAUGAAAAAUAUAACAGACCAACCAACCAACCCAGUGACAACAAAACAGGUCUACCCUGGAGUCAUACUCUAAUUUUUUCUAUUUUCCUCCCUUUCUAAUCCUUUAUCCCACUUUCUUUUUCUUCCUCUUCCUUCUCCUUCUUCUUUGUCAAAUAGAGGAUUAUUAUCACUGAUCCAUAUAAAGUCCCUCUCUCGUUUAUUUUCAAUUCCCACCCCCAUUUCUAUUCCCCGUCUUCCCAUGUGCAACCUUCCUAAUAUGUUUGAUAUGCAUCUUUUUGUUUGUAUGUAUUUUUAGAAAAUGUUUAUUGUUUUGUGUGCAAAAAAAAUUAAUAAAAAUAAAUAAAGAAAAAGUAAA
Long non-coding RNA from Symphalangus syndactylus (siamang), 2679 nucleotides. RefSeq lists it as uncharacterized. Lineage: Eukaryota; Metazoa; Chordata; Mammalia; Primates; Hylobatidae. The record is from RefSeq and is a predicted model, not a curated record.